AACGAAGGGAGUGAGAGUAUUUUAUUGGGUUGUAAUUAGUUUUAGGGAUGGUUGAAUUAGGGUAUUUGUUAGGUGAAAUUUUAAAGUUUUAGUUAACCAAGAAUUGAAUGAAUGAAGUUAUGAAGAUUGGAUGUAAAACUG
RNAcentral lists this ribosomal RNA (141 nucleotides) under Bleptus fasciatus. RNAcentral's name for it is "partial 12S ribosomal RNA". Lineage: Eukaryota; Metazoa; Arthropoda; Insecta; Ephemeroptera; Heptageniidae. The record is from RNAcentral.